UACCCAUUUCAGAAAAAUGUUUGUAUGUAAUUGAAAUGAAAAGAAGAAAAUCAAAAGGGAGAGAGCGAGCGGAAUAAGAAUCCAAUGGAUUUUCAAUGCUAUUCUUUGAUGAUGAUUGAAAAUUGCAGUGUGAAUUUGUGAGCUGAGAAUUUUGAUUGUGUGGUGAAAGCCAGGGAGAUUUUGUUUGUGAGAAAUGAAAA
This 200-nucleotide long non-coding RNA is filed under the name Trifolium pratense (red clover). RNAcentral describes it as "long non-coding RNA (TPRA_LNC005267)". Lineage: Eukaryota; Viridiplantae; Streptophyta; Magnoliopsida; Fabales; Fabaceae. The record is from RNAcentral.